Long non-coding RNA from Hyaena hyaena (striped hyena), 426 nucleotides. RefSeq lists it as uncharacterized. NCBI's taxonomy places the organism in Eukaryota, Metazoa, Chordata, Mammalia, Carnivora, Hyaenidae. The record is from RefSeq and is a predicted model, not a curated record. The transcript has 4 exons.
ACCAGGGAAGAAGCGGCACCAGUCCCAUGAUCUUCCCGGAGGGGUGAAAUGAGAACACAUGAGCAGAUGUUGUCCAGGUGUCUGAAUGCCUCCAUUGGGGUACCUCCAUUUCCAAUAGUCUAUUUCCUCAAUUCCUGGGCUGAGGUGUUAACAGUCUUCAUUGAAUGAAUUUCCAUGAACAUCUUUUUUUGAUGAUCAUUGUGUGCAGAUAUCUUAAUUGAAACUGUGAGAAGCUCUGCCCAUGAUAAAGGACACAACAGAAUCUGAUCAUGUGAACACAAGUGAAGGACACGGUGGGGACUUGCCACUCAGGUAAUUUUGGAAUUUUUUUCUCUUCAUAACGUAAGUUUCAGUGCAUGUUUUCUAUGAUAAAUGUGUCACCUCUUAGAGUUCAGGAUAUUUAUACCCAGGGCACACCUAAAGGGA